This 848-nucleotide ribosomal RNA is filed under the name uncultured crenarchaeote. RNAcentral describes it as "bacterial SSU rRNA". It matches the Rfam family "Archaeal small subunit ribosomal RNA", at positions 73 to 922 of the family's 1478-position model. Lineage: Archaea; Thermoproteati; Thermoproteota. The record is from RNAcentral.
CAUACAAGGCAUACGGCUCAGUAACGCGUAGUCAACCUAACCUAUGGACGGGAAUAACCUCGGGAAACUGAGAAUAAUGCCCGAUAGAACAUUAUGCCUGGAAUGGUUUAUGUUCCAAAUGAUUUAUCGCCGUAGGAUGGGACUGCGGCCUAUCAGUUUGUUGGUGAGGUAAUGGCCCACCAAGACUAUUACAGGUACGGGCUCUGAGAGGAGUAGCCCGGAGAUGGGUACUGAGACACGGACCCAGGCCCUAUGGGGCGCAGCAGGCGAGAAAACUCUGCAAUGUGCGAAAGCACGACAAGGUUAAUCCGAGUGGUUUCUGCUAAAGAAACCUUUUGUCAGUCCUAGAAACACUGAUGAAUAAGGGGUGGGCAAGUUCUGGUGUCAGCCGCCGCGGUAAAACCAGCACCUCAAGUGGUCAGGAUGAUUAUUGGGCCUAAAGCAUCCGUAGCCGGCUCUGUAAGUUUUCGGUUAAAUCUGUACGCUCAACGUACAGGCUGCCGGGAAUACUGCAGAGCUAGGGAGUGGGAGAGGUAGACGGUACUCGGUAGGAAGGGGUAAAAUCCUUUGAUCUAUUGAUGACCACCUGUGGCGAAGGCGGUCUACCAGAACACGUCCGACGGUGAGGGAUGAAAGCUGGGGGAGCAAACCGGAUUAGAUACCCGGGUAGUCCCAGCUGUAAACUAUGCAAACUCAGUGAUGCAUUGGCUUGUGGCCAAUGCAGUGCUGCAGGGAAGCCGUUAAGUUUGCCGCCUGGGAAGUACGUACGCAAGUAUGAAACUUAAAGGAAUUGGCGGGGGAGCACCACAAGGGGUGAAGCCUGCGGUUCAAUUGGAGUCAACGCCGGA